This 253-nucleotide ribosomal RNA is filed under the name uncultured bacterium. RNAcentral's name for it is "partial 16S ribosomal RNA". It matches the Rfam family "Bacterial small subunit ribosomal RNA", at positions 524 to 776 of the family's 1533-position model. The record is from RNAcentral.
UACGUAGGGGGCUAGCGUUGUCCGGAUUUAUUGGGCGUAAAGAGCGUGUAGGCGGCCAGAUAGGUCUGCUGUGAAAACUCGAGGCUCAACCUCGAGAUGUCGGCGGAAACCAUUUGGCUAGAGUCCGGAAGAGGAAAGUGGAAUUCCUGGUGUAGCGGUGAAAUGCGCAGAUAUCAGGAGGAACACCGGUGGCGAAGGCGGCAUUCUGGACCAUUACUGACGCUGAGGAGCGAAAGCCAGGGGAGCAAACGGG